GACGAACGCUGGCGGCGUGCCUAAUACAUGCAAGUAGAACGCACAGUUUAUACCGUAGCUUGCUACACCAUAAACUGUGAGUUGCGAACGGGUGAGUAACGCGUAGGUAACCUGCCUGGUAGCGGGGGAUAACUAUUGGAAACGAUAGCUAAUACCGCAUAAUAUUGAUUAUUGCAUGAUAAUUGAUUGAAAGAUGCUAUUGCAUCACUACCAGAUGGACCUGCGUUGUAUUAGCUAGUAGGUGAGGUAACGGCUCACCUAGGCGACGAUACAUAGCCGACCUGAGAGGGUGAUCGGCCACACUGGGACGGAGACACGGCCCAGACUCCUACGGGAGGCAGCAGUAGGGAAUCUUCGGCAAUGGACGAAAGGCUGACCGAGCAACGCCGCGUGAGUGAAGAAGGGUUUCGGAUCGGAAAGCUCUGUUGUAAGAGAAGAACGGGUGUGAGAGUGGAAAGUUCACACUGUGACGGUAGCUUACCAGAAAGGGACGGCUAACUACGUG
Molecule: ribosomal RNA, 505 nt
Filed under: uncultured bacterium
Lineage: Bacteria
Description: partial 16S ribosomal RNA
Rfam family: Bacterial small subunit ribosomal RNA
Source: RNAcentral